This 2904-nucleotide ribosomal RNA is filed under the name Escherichia coli 96.154. RNAcentral describes it as "bacterial LSU rRNA". It matches the Rfam family "Bacterial large subunit ribosomal RNA". Lineage: Bacteria; Pseudomonadati; Pseudomonadota; Gammaproteobacteria; Enterobacterales; Enterobacteriaceae. The record is from RNAcentral.
GGUUAAGCGACUAAGCGUACACGGUGGAUGCCCUGGCAGUCAGAGGCGAUGAAGGACGUGCUAAUCUGCGAUAAGCGUCGGUAAGGUGAUAUGAACCGUUAUAACCGGCGAUUUCCGAAUGGGGAAACCCAGUGUGAUUCGUCACACUAUCAUUAACUGAAUCCAUAGGUUAAUGAGGCGAACCGGGGGAACUGAAACAUCUAAGUACCCCGAGGAAAAGAAAUCAACCGAGAUUCCCCCAGUAGCGGCGAGCGAACGGGGAGCAGCCCAGAGCCUGAAUCAGUGUGUGUGUUAGUGGAAGCGUCUGGAAAGGCGUGCGAUACAGGGUGACAGCCCCGUACACAAAAAUGCACAUACUGUGAGCUCGAUGAGUAGGGCGGGACACGUGGUAUCCUGUCUGAAUAUGGGGGGACCAUCCUCCAAGGCUAAAUACUCCUGACUGACCGAUAGUGAACCAGUACCGUGAGGGAAAGGCGAAAAGAACCCCGGCGAGGGGAGUGAAAAAGAACCUGAAACCGUGUACGUACAAGCAGUGGGAGCACGCUUAGGCGUGUGACUGCGUACCUUUUGUAUAAUGGGUCAGCGACUUAUAUUCUGUAGCAAGGUUAACCGAAUAGGGGAGCCGAAGGGAAACCGAGUCUUAACUGGGCGUUAAGUUGCAGGGUAUAGACCCGAAACCCGGUGAUCUAGCCAUGGGCAGGUUGAAGGUUGGGUAACACUAACUGGAGGACCGAACCGACUAAUGUUGAAAAAUUAGCGGAUGACUUGUGGCUGGGGGUGAAUGGCCAAUCAAACCGGGAGAUAGCUGGUUCUCCCCGAAAGCUAUUUAGGUAGCGCCUCGUGAAUUCAUCUCCGGGGGUAGAGCACUGUUUCGGCAAGGGGGUCAUCCCGACUUACCAACCCGAUGCAAACUGCGAAUACCGGAGAAUGUUAUCACGGGAGACACACGGCGGGUGCUAACGUCCGUCGUGAAGAGGGAAACAACCCAGACCGCCAGCUAAGGUCCCAAAGUCAUGGUUAAGUGGGAAACGAUGUGGGAAGGCCCAGACAGCCAGGAUGUUGGCUUAGAAGCAGCCAUCAUUUAAAGAAAGCGUAAUAGCUCACUGGUCGAGUCGGCCUGCGCGGAAGAUGUAACGGGGCUAAACCAUGCACCGAAGCUGCGGCAGCGACGCUUAUGCGUUGUUGGGUAGGGGAGCGUUCUGUAAGCCUGCGAAGGUGUGCUGUGAGGCAUGCUGGAGGUAUCAGAAGUGCGAAUGCUGACAUAAGUAACGAUAAAGCGGGUGAAAAGCCCGCUCGCCGGAAGACCAAGGGUUCCUGUCCAACGUUAAUCGGGGCAGGGUGAGUCGACCCCUAAGGCGAGGCCGAAAGGCGUAGUCGAUGGGAAACAGGUUAAUAUUCCUGUACUUGGUGUUACUGCGAAGGGGGGACGGAGAAGGCUAUGUUGGCCGGGCGACGGUUGUCCCGGUUUAAGCGUGUAGGCUGGUUUUCCAGGCAAAUCCGGAAAAUCAAGGCUGAGGCGUGAUGACGAGGCACUACGGUGCUGAAGCAACAAAUGCCCUGCUUCCAGGAAAAGCCUCUAAGCAUCAGGUAACAUCAAAUCGUACCCCAAACCGACACAGGUGGUCAGGUAGAGAAUACCAAGGCGCUUGAGAGAACUCGGGUGAAGGAACUAGGCAAAAUGGUGCCGUAACUUCGGGAGAAGGCACGCUGAUAUGUAGGUGAAGUCCCUCGCGGAUGGAGCUGAAAUCAGUCGAAGAUACCAGCUGGCUGCAACUGUUUAUUAAAAACACAGCACUGUGCAAACACGAAAGUGGACGUAUACGGUGUGACGCCUGCCCGGUGCCGGAAGGUUAAUUGAUGGGGUUAGCGCAAGCGAAGCUCUUGAUCGAAGCCCCGGUAAACGGCGGCCGUAACUAUAACGGUCCUAAGGUAGCGAAAUUCCUUGUCGGGUAAGUUCCGACCUGCACGAAUGGCGUAAUGAUGGCCAGGCUGUCUCCACCCGAGACUCAGUGAAAUUGAACUCGCUGUGAAGAUGCAGUGUACCCGCGGCAAGACGGAAAGACCCCGUGAACCUUUACUAUAGCUUGACACUGAACAUUGAGCCUUGAUGUGUAGGAUAGGUGGGAGGCUUUGAAGUGUGGACGCCAGUCUGCAUGGAGCCGACCUUGAAAUACCACCCUUUAAUGUUUGAUGUUCUAACGUUGACCCGUAAUCCGGGUUGCGGACAGUGUCUGGUGGGUAGUUUGACUGGGGCGGUCUCCUCCUAAAGAGUAACGGAGGAGCACGAAGGUUGGCUAAUCCUGGUCGGACAUCAGGAGGUUAGUGCAAUGGCAUAAGCCAGCUUGACUGCGAGCGUGACGGCGCGAGCAGGUGCGAAAGCAGGUCAUAGUGAUCCGGUGGUUCUGAAUGGAAGGGCCAUCGCUCAACGGAUAAAAGGUACUCCGGGGAUAACAGGCUGAUACCGCCCAAGAGUUCAUAUCGACGGCGGUGUUUGGCACCUCGAUGUCGGCUCAUCACAUCCUGGGGCUGAAGUAGGUCCCAAGGGUAUGGCUGUUCGCCAUUUAAAGUGGUACGCGAGCUGGGUUUAGAACGUCGUGAGACAGUUCGGUCCCUAUCUGCCGUGGGCGCUGGAGAACUGAGGGGGGCUGCUCCUAGUACGAGAGGACCGGAGUGGACGCAUCACUGGUGUUCGGGUUGUCAUGCCAAUGGCACUGCCCGGUAGCUAAAUGCGGAAGAGAUAAGUGCUGAAAGCAUCUAAGCACGAAACUUGCCCCGAGAUGAGUUCUCCCUGACUCCUUGAGAGUCCUGAAGGAACGUUGAAGACGACGACGUUGAUAGGCCGGAUGUGUAAGCGCAGCGAUGCGUUGAGCUAACCGGUACUAAUGAACCGUGAGGCUUAACCUU